GACGAACGCUGGCGGCGUGCUUAACACAUGCAAGUCGAACGGAAAGGCCCUGCUUUUGUGGGGUGCUCGAGUGGCGAACGGGUGAGUAACACGUGAGUAACCUGCCCUUGACUUUGGGAUAACUUCAGGAAACUGGGGCUAAUACCGGAUAGGAGCUCCUGCUGCAUGGUGGGGGUUGGAAAGUUUCGGCGGUUGGGGAUGGACUCGCGGCUUAUCAGCUUGUUGGUGGGGUAGUGGCUUACCAAGGCUUUGACGGGUAGCCGGCCUGAGAGGGUGACCGGCCACAUUGGGACUGGGAUACGGCCCAGACUCCUACGGGAGGCAGCAGUGGGGAAUAUUGCACAAUGGGCGGAAGCCUGAUGCAGCAACGCCGCGGGCGGGAUGACGGCCUUCGGGUUGUAAUCCGCUUUCGCCUGUGCCGAAGCGUGAGUGACGGUAAUGGGUAAAGAAGCACCGGCUAACUACGGGC
This 469-nucleotide ribosomal RNA is filed under the name uncultured bacterium. RNAcentral describes it as "partial 16S ribosomal RNA". It matches the Rfam family "Bacterial small subunit ribosomal RNA", at positions 28 to 508 of the family's 1533-position model. The record is from RNAcentral.